This 251-nucleotide ribosomal RNA is filed under the name uncultured bacterium. RNAcentral describes it as "partial 16S ribosomal RNA". It matches the Rfam family "Bacterial small subunit ribosomal RNA", at positions 525 to 775 of the family's 1533-position model. The record is from RNAcentral.
ACGUAGGGGGCAAGCGUUAUCCGGAUUUACUGGGUGUAAAGGGAGCGUAGACGGCUUAGCAAGUCUGAAGCGAAAGCCCGGGGCUCAACCCCGGGACUGCUUUGGAAACUGUUAAGCUGGAGUGCUGGAGAGGUAAGCGGAAUUCCUAGUGUAGCGGUGAAAUGCGUAGAUAUUAGGAGGAACACCAGUGGCGAAGGCGGCUUACUGGACAGUAACUGACGUUGAGGCUCGAAAGCGUGGGGAGCAAACAG